Molecule: non-coding RNA, 820 nt
Organism: Carica papaya (papaya)
Lineage: Eukaryota; Viridiplantae; Streptophyta; Magnoliopsida; Brassicales; Caricaceae
Source: RefSeq, a predicted model, not a curated record
AGGAGCGACGGCAGAAAGGAGUAUAGGGGAGAUGCAUGAAAGUGAAGAGGAAGAGAGAAGAUAUUUCGGUGCCUUGUUCGUCGAACAACCAAGGUAGGUCGCAGCGAGGCUAGCCCUUAGUAGGUUGGGUAAAGAAGUGUAGUUAAAACUGCAGUGGAUCACCUUGUCGAGGGUAAGAGUAGUUUAUACUCCAAAUCCCUAUAUCUAAGUUAAUAUAAUUGAUUUAAACCUAUCCUUUUGAUAUAAGAUUGUGAUCUUGAUGAUUGUGUGAAUAUCAUUAAUAAUUUUGUGAUGAAUGGGUGAAAUAUGAAGUUGUUGGAUGUUUGAAGUGAUGAUGUCGGCUGGGAUAAAAAAUAUUCAAUUAGGGUUUUCAAGGUUGAAGACGAUAGAAGGGGUCAGUGUGGUGGGUCGGGUUGAUGUACCCGUGAGGUCCAGGACUUAGUUUCCAUUAGCCCGAGCCCGAGUUCAUAUGGAUAUCUAGUUGGGUUUAGUAAAUAAAUAAAGGAGGAAAAUGAAGUAAAAAAUAACAAUAAUAAUAUUGUAACCAAAGAGAGGUCAGGCAGACCAAGCUCAUAAGAGAAACGGGCUCAGUGAGGAGAUUAAGAUUUUAAGUGGGUUGGGUUUCAAUGGUUGAAGGGAAUUAAAGAAAAAAGAAGGGGCCCUAAUACGGUGGGCCGAGCCAGUAGGAAGAAUAAAAAGGGAAUCCAGUUGAAAAGGAAAAAAAUAAUUUUAUUACCCCAAGAGAAAUUUAAACACUAGUGGGCUGAGCUUCCAUAAAAUGGGUUAGGCAUUGAAAGUGGGCUAGCUGAGGGAAAGAAAA